Egretta garzetta (little egret) is the source of this 46-nucleotide non-coding RNA. Lineage: Eukaryota; Metazoa; Chordata; Aves; Pelecaniformes; Ardeidae. The record is from Rfam.
GCAAAGGCCUCUUUGGAGGCCACCGUUGGAGACCUUUAUGUGAUAG